This 805-nucleotide ribosomal RNA is filed under the name Singerocomus inundabilis. Its description in RNAcentral is "eukaryotic LSU rRNA". The stretch from base 256 to 410 matches the Rfam family "5.8S ribosomal RNA". Lineage: Eukaryota; Fungi; Basidiomycota; Agaricomycetes; Boletales; Boletaceae. The record is from RNAcentral.
UCAUUAUUGAACUCUCAGGUAGAGGGGAGGGGGAGAAGGGGCUAAACUUUGACUGUCGCUGGCCUUGGCAUGUUGCACGUCUAAGACUCCCUUUCGUUCAUUCUCUCUCCUUUACCACAACCAACACACCUGUGCACCUACUGUAGGCCCUCGAAAGAGGAACCUAUGCUUUUUCGCAUCUACUCUAUGUCUAUAGAAUGUAUAUGUAUUUGUAUUGAAGAUCGUCGCGGUCCAAUAUAAAUGUAAAUGUCAUACAACUUUCAGCAACGGAUCUCUUGGCUCUCGCAUCGAUGAAGAACGCAGCGAAUUGCGAUAAGUAAUGUGAAUUGCAGAUUUUCAGUGAAUCAUCGAAUCUUUGAACGCACCUUGCGCUCCUUGGUAUUCCGAGGAGCAUGUCUGUUUGAGUGUCAUUGAAUUCCUCAAACCAAUGUUUUGAUUCAUCUUCAAAGCAUUGGCUUUGGAACAAUUGGGGGUUUGCUGGCCGCAACAAUAGCAGUCGGCUCUCCUGAAAUGCAUUAGCAGGAAAAGGGAGUUUGCACCAUGCAAGUCUUUCUUUGACGUGCACGGCCUUGGACGUGAUAAUGAUCGUCAUCGCUGGAGCGUCAGACUUGAUCAAUGGCAGUGUCUCUCUUCAUGCUUCCAAUUUCUCUGAUCCUUGAGGGCCUUUAAUCCCCUACCUAACCUUGUCAAGGUCGCUUUCAAGUGGCUUUGUUUGUUAGUUUUGAUUUUGGGGGCCUUUUUGAAUCUUUGCUUGAAAGCUUGACCUCAAAUCAGAUAGGACUACCCGCUGAACUUAAGCAUAUCA